UACGAAGGGGGCUAGCGUUGCUCGGAAUCACUGGGCGUAAAGCGCACGUAGGCGGCUUUUUAAGUCAGGGGUGAAAUCCUGGAGCUCAACUCCAGAACUGCCUUUGAUACUGGGAAGCUUGAGUCCGGGAGAGGUGAGUGGAACUCCGAGUGUAGAGGUGAAAUUCGUAGAUAUUCGGAAGAACACCAGUGGCGAAGGCGGCUCACUGGCCCGGUACUGACGCUGAGGUGCGAGAGCGUGGGGAGCGAACCGG
This 253-nucleotide ribosomal RNA is filed under the name uncultured bacterium. RNAcentral describes it as "partial 16S ribosomal RNA". It matches the Rfam family "Bacterial small subunit ribosomal RNA", at positions 524 to 776 of the family's 1533-position model. The record is from RNAcentral.